AUGAACAGAAAGUGUUAGUUAGUAAUAAGGCAUACUUUUUAAAAAAAAAAAUUCUUAGUAAAGGAAUUAGUACCUCUAAAGUCGAGCUUGAUGAAGUUCGAUAAAUAAAAAAAUUAAUACAAUCUAGUAAACCCACAUAAUCGAAUUUGAUUGGAUCAAACCCAGAUCUUGUCGUAGAUGCACCAUUAAGGAGAUCCGAUAGAGUAUCGCACCAACUAGAUAGAUACUAAGAUUUUUUGUUUCG
RNAcentral lists this long non-coding RNA (244 nucleotides) under Elaeis guineensis (African oil palm). Its description in RNAcentral is "long non-coding RNA (EGUI_LNC069117)". Lineage: Eukaryota; Viridiplantae; Streptophyta; Magnoliopsida; Arecales; Arecaceae. The record is from RNAcentral.